Molecule: small nuclear RNA, 108 nt
Organism: Erinaceus europaeus (western European hedgehog)
Lineage: Eukaryota; Metazoa; Chordata; Mammalia; Eulipotyphla; Erinaceidae
Gene: U2
Rfam family: U2 spliceosomal RNA
About the family: U2 is a small nuclear RNA (snRNA) component of the spliceosome (involved in pre-mRNA splicing).
Source: Ensembl
AUUGUUUUUUGGCCUUUUGGCUAAGAUCGAGUGUAGUAUCUGUUCUUAAUCAGUUUAAUAAAUAAAUCGGAAAGGGUGGAUUUCAUCCUGUCCACUAUCCAAUCACUC